Leptonychotes weddellii (Weddell seal) is the source of this 521-nucleotide long non-coding RNA. RefSeq lists it as uncharacterized. The record is from RefSeq and is a predicted model, not a curated record. Lineage: Eukaryota; Metazoa; Chordata; Mammalia; Carnivora; Phocidae.
GCGUGCAGUGAUGACGUGCGGGAGCCAUUUUGGACGUUCAUUUUCUUUUGUAAGGGGCUUCGGAAGGCUGCCUUUAAUCUUUACUUUUGGUCCCGUUGCCAAGAAGAGUUGUUCGAAAGGUCGUUAAUACCUGAGUUCGGAAGAAACAGCUUAUAAUCGAGAAAAUGCCGCCUCUUGAAACGGAUAUAGCAGUGGAAACCGAAGAGAGAGUAAGGUUUGAUCAUCAUAUAAUACAGGAGCUUAAAGAUCUAUGCUCAUUGAUAAAGAGGGUAAUGUCAGAGCGCUUGGAAAGAAUCAAGGAGAGAGCGCUAACAGAAAUGUGCAAGCCUGAUCGGUCACAAAAUCGAAUUACCGAAGUAAAUGCAAAACAAGAGAAACCUGCAGAAAAAAAGGAAAAAUAAAUAAAAGAGAAUGAGAGAAAUCUACAGGAUCGGUCCAGGAGAUACAAUCUACACAUAAUAGGAAUACCUGAAACGGGAAAGCAAAUGAAGCUGAAACAAUAAGGACCUAAUUGAAGAAAA